UUCUCCUGUGCCUUUAAAAAGCAACACACACAAGCACACACCUGGCACUCCGAACCUCGUUUGUACCCACGGGAUGCUGGUGAAGUCAUCGUGAUUACACAGGAUAAGGGAGGUUGAAGCUGGCCUCUUUAAACCAGGAUUUUAAAUUGGGGGUAUUUUAUUCCUGUGUAUUCUUCCCAUUGCUAAACCUUUUACAGAGGCUACUGAGGCAGGGAGCUGCUGAGCUAAUCCUCUUUGACUCCCUGCCAUCCUGGCAGGUACAGCAAAGCCUAAGGCUUUUCAGAAAGAAACAUUUCAAAUCCCUGCUGUAAACCAGUGGCAUAAUUAGCUGCAUGUUACACCUGGUAUUUCACUCUUCCAAAGAGUCAUUCCUUUGAGCUUUCUUUUUUACUAAGCCCCGAGGUCUCCAGAAACUGAAGCUCCUUGUUCACUCGUCUGCCGGCUGACAGGACCUUGAGGGGCAGCACAGGCCAGGCGAGGGCUGCGGGGUGCCCUCCCGCCGGCCAGCGGCCCCCUGCAGCCCGGGCAGCGGAGCGAGCAGGGGCGGCGGGAGCGGGCGGGACCCCCGAGGGCAGGCGAACGCCCUCCUGGCUGCCCGCGCCGGGGCGCGAUGUGUGCAGCCUAAUUGCGCCGCGAUAAGAUCAAACAAAGGCUCUCUGAUCCGGCAGCUGGCAGCCCGCCAGCCUAUCUGGGCUCCCAUCUGACAAGCCUGCCGAUUGAUCAAAUCAUUAGCUGCCAGUGUAGGUGGAUCGGCUGCCACCAGCCAAAUUCCUUCGCUUGCCGCUUCGCUUCUCCGGAGAGGACUCGAGGCUCCAGCAGCUCCUUCUCCCCACCCUGCUAUCGGCAGCACCCCUCGGGCUCGGGUUCACCCCGGGGAAGCUCUGCCUUUUGCUUCCCAAGUGUAAAAGAGUGGUUUUGUCCCUGAUGUGCUCGCAGAGAACUUGCAAAACCACAGAAGAAAGGCAGUCGGCUGUGCGCAGAGGCACAGCAGAGCUAUCUGUGCUGCCAGGGCCAGCACCAGGCACAGCCACAGCUGCUGCCCCUGCCGGUUCUGCCUCGUCCUCUCUGCUGCACUCGGGGCUGUGUAGGACGUAGCGCCGGAAUCUGAGGGCUCCCUGAGCACCUCCUCGUUAGCUGGGACGA
This is a long non-coding RNA of Pogoniulus pusillus (Red-fronted tinkerbird), 1143 nucleotides long. RefSeq lists it as uncharacterized. The transcript has 2 exons. Lineage: Eukaryota; Metazoa; Chordata; Aves; Piciformes; Lybiidae. The record is from RefSeq and is a predicted model, not a curated record.